AAAGGAAUAGACGGGGACCCGCACAAGCAGCGGAGCAUGUUGUUUAAUUCGAAGCAACGCGAAGAACCUUACCAAAUCUUGACAUCCCUCUGCCGUGCACUGUAGUGGUGCAUUUCCCUUCGGGGACAGAGGAGACAGGUGGUGCAUGGUUGUCGUCAGCUCGUGUCGUGAGAUGUUGGGUUAAGUCCCGCAACGAGCGCAACCCCUAUUUCUAGUUGCCAUCAGGUAAAGCUGGGCACUCUAGAGAGACUGCCGGAGACAAUCCGGAGGAAGGUGGGGAUGAUGUCAAAUCAUCAUGCCCUUUAUGAUUUGGGCUACAAACGUGCUACAAUGGUCGGUACAACGGGCAGCGAACCGGUAACGGGGAGCCAAUCUCAAAAAGCCGAUCUCAGUUCGGAUUGAGGGCUGCAACUCGCCCUCAUGAAGUUGGAGUUGCUAGUAAUCGCGAAUCAGCAUGUCGCGGUGAAUGCGUUCCCGGGUCUUGUACACACCGCCCGU
This 498-nucleotide ribosomal RNA is filed under the name uncultured bacterium. RNAcentral's name for it is "bacterial SSU rRNA". It matches the Rfam family "Bacterial small subunit ribosomal RNA", at positions 903 to 1397 of the family's 1533-position model. The record is from RNAcentral.